UUUUCGUUGUUCGUUUUGUUCUUAUUCGCUGACAUUUGUUUUCCAAUUGCGUGAAAUUUGGUCAUUUCCUUAGUGUUUCGCUGACCGACCUGUGCUGGUAUUGUGAUUAAGAGCUAAUACACAUUUUUCGGACGAUUCUGCUGUGCUGCGUUCCUGCUCCGCCUGUAUAUUGCUCCGCCCGUAUUUUAUAGUGUUGCGUUCCUGUUGCGCCUUUGCAUUAGUGUGUGCGUUGUGAUUUAGACACGUUGAAAUUUUUUGUAUGCUUCUGCUGUGCUGCGUUCCUGCUCCACCCGUGUAUUAGAUUGCUGCGUUCCUGUUAACAUACAUAUCGUCGCUUAAAGUACAAAACCGCGUAACUGACAUUUGCUGCUAAAAAUUGGAUUCGCUCACACACGUUUUUGGAUCAAUCCUUAUCCAUUCUUCCUGAAAUAUACUAGCCAAAAAUGCGAUUGCUUUUUACAAAAAGAUAACCAUUUUGAAAUAUGAGUGUUUUUACUCUCUAGAAAUUAAUUUAUGCAACCUCGCAUACGUGGGUUUGCAUUAUCUCUAUACGAGGUUUUGCAAUUUAUUGAUGCAUGGUUUUGUACUUUAAACGACGAUAUGUAUGUAGAUGUAUGUACAUGUAUAUCACAUAUAUUGACUUAGAUAUGU
This 651-nucleotide long non-coding RNA is filed under the name Rhagoletis pomonella (apple maggot). Its description in RNAcentral is "uncharacterized LOC118752427". The record is from RNAcentral. Lineage: Eukaryota; Metazoa; Arthropoda; Insecta; Diptera; Tephritidae.